AUCUAUACUGUAAAUAUUAACCUUAACUUCCUUUCUAAUUUAGAAUUCUCUUACUUGCAGAGAAAACUCAACAUCAUAGCCAUAAAAUCUGGACCCUGAGGCAAACAUUUUGAUCAAUGGUCAGCAGAUAAGAGAGGAAAGUAGGAUGAGGAUUUAACUGAAGUGGAUAUUAUCAGUAAAUGGAAUGUUACAGAAAGGUUGACAUCACUUGAUGGAGGACUUGAACUAUGCUUCUUCUUGAAAGGACAAUACGUACAAUGAAUCUGAAAUAAAGUUGAAAAUCAGGACCAGAAUAGAAGAGCAGUUGGAGGAUCUAAAGGAUGACAAUGAGGUGUGAGUACUGAAGU
Molecule: long non-coding RNA, 347 nt
Filed under: Monodelphis domestica (gray short-tailed opossum)
Lineage: Eukaryota; Metazoa; Chordata; Mammalia; Didelphimorphia; Didelphidae
Description: lncRNA (ENSMODG00000046639.1)
Source: RNAcentral